RNAcentral lists this long non-coding RNA (285 nucleotides) under Lathyrus oleraceus (garden pea). Its description in RNAcentral is "Pisum sativum (pea) long non-coding RNA (PSAT_LNC031347)". The record is from RNAcentral. Lineage: Eukaryota; Viridiplantae; Streptophyta; Magnoliopsida; Fabales; Fabaceae.
UGAGAGGAAAUUUCUGAGAGUGAGGUGAGGAAUCUGAGAGAGUGAAUGUGUGAGGGAAGCGGAAAGGGUUUACUGAGUGUGUGAGCUCAUGUGUUGGUGUGAGGGAGCGAGGUCUGUGAGAGAUUUUCGUGAGAGAGAACAAGGAAUAUUUAUUUAUUUUUUGUAACGUCUUUUUUCUGAGAGAGAGAUAUCAAGUGAGUGAGUGAAGUAGUCAUGCGUGUGGAGAGUUUGUUGAGAUUUUGUACAGAAUGGAGAGAGAUUUUGAUGAUCUUUUUUUGUUUUUUU